RNAcentral lists this ribosomal RNA (479 nucleotides) under uncultured Bacteroidota bacterium. RNAcentral's name for it is "bacterial SSU rRNA". It matches the Rfam family "Bacterial small subunit ribosomal RNA", at positions 28 to 505 of the family's 1533-position model. Lineage: Bacteria; Pseudomonadati; Bacteroidota. The record is from RNAcentral.
GACGAACGCUGGCGGCGGGCCUAACACAUGCAAGUCUAAGGAGAAUUUCGGAGUAAUCUGAAAGGACACUGGCGCACGGGUGAGUAACGCGUAGGUAACCUACCUUCUGCUGGGGGAUAACAUCGGGAAACCGGUGCUAAUACCGCAUAAUGCAGCGGUCACGCAUGUGACAGUUGUUAAAGAAUUUCGGCAGAAGAUGGGCCUGCGUGUCAUUAGUUAGUUGGUAAGGUAACGGCUUACCAAGACGAUGAUGACUAGGGGGUCUGAGAGGAUGAUCCCCCACACUGGAACUGAGACACGGUCCAGACUCCUACGGGAGGCAGCAGUGAGGAAUCUUGCGCAAUGGGGGAAACCCUGACGCAGCCACGCCGCGUGCCAGAUGAAGGCCCUACGGGUCGUAAAUGGCUUUUGGUCGGGAAGAUAAGCCGGGUUUCGACCUGGUGUGACGGUACCGACUGAAUAAGCACCGGCUAACUCCG